UACAGAGGGUGCGAGCGUUGUCCGGAAUCACUGGGCGUAAAGGGCGCGUAGGCGGCUUGAUAAGCGUGCGGUGAAAGUCCGGGGCUCAACCCCGGAUCGGCCGUGCCGACUGAGAGGCUGGAGCACUGUAGAGGCGAGUGGAAUUCCGGGUGUAGCGGUGGAAUGCGUAGAGAUCCGGAAGAACACCGGUGGCGAAGGCGGCUCGCUGGGCAGUGGCUGACGCUGAGGCGCGACAGCGUGGGGAGCAAACAGG
Molecule: ribosomal RNA, 253 nt
Filed under: uncultured bacterium
Lineage: Bacteria
Description: partial 16S ribosomal RNA
Rfam family: Bacterial small subunit ribosomal RNA
Source: RNAcentral